RNAcentral lists this ribosomal RNA (62 nucleotides) under Telimena sp. RNAcentral's name for it is "partial 28S ribosomal RNA". Lineage: Eukaryota; Fungi; Ascomycota; Sordariomycetes; Phyllachorales; Telimenaceae. The record is from RNAcentral.
GGUUGACCUCGGAUCAGGUAGGAGUACCCGCUGAACUUAAGCAUAUCAAUAAGCAAGAGGAA